RNAcentral lists this ribosomal RNA (466 nucleotides) under uncultured bacterium. RNAcentral describes it as "partial 16S ribosomal RNA". It matches the Rfam family "Bacterial small subunit ribosomal RNA", at positions 28 to 507 of the family's 1533-position model. The record is from RNAcentral.
GACGAACGCUGGCGGCGUGCUUAACACAUGCAAGUCGAACGGAAAGGCCCUGCUUGCAGGGUACUCGAGUGGCGAACGGGUGAGUAACACGUGGGUGAUCUGCCCUGCACUUCGGGAUAAGCUUGGGAAACUGGGUCUAAUACCGGAUAGGAGCCAUCUUUAGUGUGGUGGUUGGAAAGUUUUUUCGGUGUAGGAUGAGCUCGCGGCCUAUCAGCUUGUUGGUGGGGUAAUGGCCUACCAAGGCGGCGACGGGUAGCCGGCCUGAGAGGGUGUACGGCCACAUUGGGACUGAGAUACGGCCCAGACUCCUACGGGAGGCAGCAGUGGGGAAUAUUGCACAAUGGGCGCAAGCCUGAUGCAGCGACGCCGCGUGGGGGAUGAAGGCCUUCGGGUUGUAAACUCCUUUCGCUAGGGACGAAGCUUUGUUGUGACGGUCCCUAGAUAAGAAGCACCGGCUAACUACGUG